Small nucleolar RNA from Humulus lupulus (European hop), 107 nucleotides. The record is from RefSeq and is a predicted model, not a curated record. Lineage: Eukaryota; Viridiplantae; Streptophyta; Magnoliopsida; Rosales; Cannabaceae.
UAACCAUGGUGGGGACAACGACUUAGUAAAUCCUUGAACCUCUCCCAAGACUCAUAGAAUGUUUCAGAAUCAAUCUGUCUGAACUGACCUAUAUUACUUCUUAAUUG